RNAcentral lists this unclassified non-coding RNA (244 nucleotides) under plant metagenome. Its description in RNAcentral is "partial contains small subunit ribosomal RNA, internal transcribed spacer 1, and 5.8S ribosomal RNA". The record is from RNAcentral.
UCUCCGUUGGUGAACCAGCGGAGGGAUCAUCACCGAGUUUACAACUCCCAAACCCAAUGUGAACCAUACCAAACUGUUGCCUCGGCGGGGUCACGCCCCGGGUGCGUCGCAGCCCCGGAACCAGGCGCCCGCCGGAGGGACCAACCAAACUCUUUCUGUAGUCCCCUCGCGGACGUUAUUUUUACAGCUCUGAGCAAAAAUUCAAAAUGAAUCAAAACUUUCAACAACGGAUCUCUUGGUUCUG